CCCUGCUUUCCAUUCUUUUUGGAAUACACCAAAAGCUGAAUUGCUGCAUUUUGUGUCCUACCAGCAAAAGCUGUUUUAACAGCAGGAAAACUGAAAGCAACAUUGCAACUGGAACAUAGAACCAAGAACUUGCAAUUUGCUCUGUCCCAUUCCCCAUUGCAAUGGGAUGUGUGGCCUGAGAAGAGAAGUUUGACAAUAAAUAAUAUCUCAGGAUGCUGCUGUCAUGAGCUGUGAAAUACACAGACUUUAUGGUCAUAACAGCCUUUAAAGCAAGGACCUUUGUUUAUUCACCGGUUCCCUCACCCUUCCUGAAAUAGAGUGAAUAGAAGGGCCUUUGAGGGGACCUAAAGAAUGUGGUGCAUUCGAUAUGUUUAAUUGCAGAAAAAAUGCUCUCCUGGCUACUCAGAAACUAACAACAUCUAUGCAACAAUAUAACAUGAAAAUGUGUAAGUGCAAUGCCUUAGGCUUCGACUCUGUGUGCAGUGGCAGCUAAUAGUGGAGGGUUUCGGCCAGUGGGGUGAAGCUCUGUGACUUUUCUUCAAAAAGAAUGUUUGCUGUAAGGUCAAGUCAAGAGCCAGGUUAUCAAUUAGGGGGUCAUUGCAGAAGUUGAAGCGCAAGGUGAUGGUGCAUGGGACCACAGCCAUACCACGGCAGGUGGUGGAAAGUACUGGAUUCUCACAGAUGGAUCUUGUACAUGGAAACAAUAUCCUGGACCCCUGUGGAACUGGAGUCUCAAGGUCUGGGGUUGUGACCAGCUAAACACCACGUCUUUGCUUGCAUGAGAAUUAUUCCCAACAUUGGCUCCAGUGUUCCUCUGCCCACAGUCUUGACCUCCCCACUGUCCAGCACCCAAAAAGAUACUUCCUUCCAGUGCUCCAUGAGCAGAGAAAAGACCCUUCUUACCCCUGCUCUCAUCUUAAUCACAGCAUCCUGGCCUCCGUGGCAUUAGGGUCACUGAACCUCGUGUGGGCUGGAGGUCAUGGGGAAAGGUAUAGACCACUCUCUAAUACUGUAUGAAUCCUGAAGUUCAGGAAGGGUCUCAGAUCUGCAUAUGAUAAAUGCGGAUCCCAUUAUUGAAAUGGGUGGGGUCGGGAGGACUUUAUCUUAUGCUACUCAAUCUCUUUUCCUGUCCCUACCCAACAAAGGUGUAUGACAGGUCUAUGGGUGAGAGCAUUCCCAAGUGGCCCAUGUGGAAGUCACAGUUUGAUAGUUAAAAAAUAGAGAUUCUUAUAUGAACUUCCCCCAUGACCUGAAUACUGGUUCUAGGUCUAAGGCUCAGAAAGCAGUACCCCAAAAUCAAAGCCUCAGAAGUUCACCACACCUUAAACUCCUGGCCUCAAGCAAUCCUCCCGCCUCAGCCUCUCAAGUAGUUAGGACUGCAGGUUCAUGCCACAUACCAGGCUAUUUUUUCAAAAUUUUUUGCAGAGAUGGAGUCUUGAAAUGUUACCCAGGCUGGUCUGGAACUCCUGAGCUCAAGGAAUCCUUCUGAAAGAGCCUCAGAAGCAAAACUUUCUCUCUGAGCUUCUUCUGCCUUCCUGUCUCUGAGUCCCAUUCUCCCUGGAGGCACCUUAGAAACUAGAAUCCCUCUUCCCCAUGACGGGUCCUAGAAACCAGAACCCCUUUUCCCCAAAGCCAUAAAACCUAAAAAUCGGACUCUAAAUUUCCCUCUACCUUUCUGUGUAAAAACUGGCCAUACAGAAAUUAUCUGGGUUGGGUGUGGUGGCUCAAAUCUGUAAUUUCAACACUUUGGGAGGCAAAGGCAGGAGGAUUGCUUGAGCCCAGGAGUUUAAGACCAUCCUGGGUAAUACUGCAAGACUCCAUCUCUGCAAAAAUUUUUAAAAAUUAGUCUGGUAUGUUGGCACACACCUGUAGUCAUACCUACUUCAGAGGCUGAGACUGGCAGAUUGCUUGAGUCCAGGAAUUUGAGGCUGUGGUGAACCAUGGAUCAGGCCACUGCACUUCACCCUGGGUGACAGAAUCAGACCCUGCCUCUUGAAAAGAGAAAACAAAAGAAGAAAUGACCUGACCUACUUUGUUUGACUGUAGAUCCUAAGACCCCCUUUCCAGAAAGUUGGUUAUUCAUUGGUCCUCUCACCCUUCCUGAAAUAGAGUGAAUAGAGGGGACUUUGAAGGGACCUAAGGAAUAUGGUGAAUUUUUCCCACACCCAGAAGGAAGAAGCACUGCUCAGAGAGGCCAAGAAGAAUCCAACCCUAUUUCUACAUGGCUGUCCAUACUUUGUUGAACCUAGGCAUAAAAAUGGACGGUUUCCUCUGUAUCUUUGGGUCUUCAUUCUAAAGGCUCUCAUGUCAUAUACAACUGUGAUCAAAUAAAUAUUUAAGCUUUUUCUCCUGUGAAUCUUCCUUUUGUCAGUUGGUUAUCAGCAAACCUUCAGAGGGUGAAGGGGAAGCUUUCCCUUGGCCCAUAUACAGACAAGAAUUUUGAAUGCCUUAUUUAAU
RNAcentral lists this long non-coding RNA (2457 nucleotides) under Homo sapiens (human). RNAcentral describes it as "HSALNT0260290". Lineage: Eukaryota; Metazoa; Chordata; Mammalia; Primates; Hominidae. The record is from RNAcentral.